GGGCCCAUAGCUCAGCUGGUCAGAGCAGGCGGCUCAUAACCGUCUAGUCCUAGGUUCAAAUCCUAGUGGGCCCACCA
RNAcentral lists this transfer RNA (77 nucleotides) under Halarsenatibacter silvermanii. Its description in RNAcentral is "tRNA_Met_CAT". It matches the Rfam family "tRNA". From Rfam's summary of the family: Transfer RNA (tRNA) molecules are approximately 80 nucleotides in length. Their secondary structure includes four short double-helical elements and three loops (D, anti-codon, and T loops). Lineage: Bacteria; Bacillati; Bacillota; Clostridia; Halanaerobiales; Halarsenatibacteraceae. The record is from RNAcentral.